AUGCCUUAAACUAAUGAGCAAGGAAAGUAACAAUUUGGGGUGACACCUGAAUCCUCGCUGCUAAUGUGAGAUGAAUUUUUGAGCUGGUAAAGGUUCCACCCUAAGAUGACUCACUGCUUUGCAGGAUUCCUGGGUGAGCAAUCUGGCCAA
Small nuclear RNA from Sorex araneus (European shrew), 150 nucleotides. RefSeq annotates it as U12 minor spliceosomal RNA. Lineage: Eukaryota; Metazoa; Chordata; Mammalia; Eulipotyphla; Soricidae. The transcript has a single exon. The record is from RefSeq and is a predicted model, not a curated record.